UUACAUUGGGAAAUAAAUAGACCUUUGGUAGAGCACCAAGUAAUGGUUCUAUUUGUUCAUUAAGCAACCAAACUAUUACAGAAUACAAUACUCAAACCAGUCUUGAAAACACAGAACAAACAAGUACUAUUACAGACAAUAACCAAGUUCAAAAUAAAACAUUCAAACAUCAAAAGUAAUUUACGAUAAUGGAAAACACUUUCUAAUUAAAGUAACUGAACAACUUCGGUAAUUCUGCUCUCCAGAAACAACAGCCCCUCCACUUCCAGAAACUGAUUAACCACCCCCAUCUUUCCUUCCAUCUCUCCCUUUCAACCUCCCCCCAUGUAACUAACUAUGGUCCCCACUAAGGCGGUUUCCACUUCCUCCACUUCGAUCACCGGUGCACGUGCCAUUCCACUUGUUUUCCUUCUGCCAUAUUGUAUUACAAUUGGUGGUCUAUCAACCUCAAAGAAACAACUAAAGGAAAAUACAUAAAUGGAAAAUACCAAAAAGGAAAAUAAUAAUAAGCCAUAAACCAUAAUUUACUUUUGAUGAGAAGCUUAUGAGCAAUUUUCUUUGAAAAGAGGUGGUAGAAGGAAAAGUAAAAGGGGUUCUUCGUCAUAUGGGAGACCAUGGGUUGGUUAAUCACUGUGGUGUUGGGGUUGGGGUUGGGGUUGGGGGUAGAACUUGGGAAUUUAAAAUUCUGCAACAAAGCGUCGUUAGCCAAAUGGCUUUAGGGUUUCUCCCUUGAGCACAAUUUCUCUUUGGCACAAAGUUAGUUCUGGUAAGUAUGGUCCUUAUUCUUUCAAUGGUUGUUCAGUGGGGUUAAAGGCUCAUAUCAGAAUUCAUGGAAGGAUAUAUCUAGGAGAUCCCCUUGUUCAUUGUGUGGUAUGAGAGGGGAAGAAUUCUUUUUUUGGGAAGAUCAGUGGGUGGGGAUCUCCAUCUACUCUUUUUGUUUUCUCACGUUUAGGUUGGAUGUUUGGGUUUUGUCUGUCUAUCCACUAGGGAAGCGAUGGAUCUGGUCUAUCUUUUUUCUUUGCUUGAGGAUUGUAACUUUAGGCUUGGGAGAAGAGGUUGGUGGGUGUGGAGUCCCAACUCUUCAAAUGGAUUCUUGUGUAAAUUAUUUCGUAGUUUGAUUAAUCCAUCUCCUGUAGGUGAGUUAGCAUUUUUCGUUCUUUAGAGGAUUAAGAUGUUGUGGAAAGUAUAGAUUUUUACAUGGUCUUGCUAACACAAUAGAUUGACUUAUGAGGAAGUUGCAUUCAUUAGUUGGUUUGUUUUGGUUGUAAUCUCUAUCAAAAGACAGAGUAAGACUUGGUACCAUAGUCUCUAACUCUCUGGAGAUGUGAGUUUGCGAGUUUUGCUCAGGAUUACUUCUGUCAGAUGUGUGGUUUCUUGCUAGCUCGACAUAGGGACAUGAGUGUUCUGACCAGAGAGUUUCUUCUCCUCUGCCCCUUUAUAUGAAGGAUUGCUUUUUAUGGUUGGCAGGAUUGGAAUGACAGGGAGUGUUUAGACAGAUGGAGAGAUAUCCUAAUUGUCUUUGGUCUCUUGUUAGAUUCUAUGUUUUCCUUUAGACGUCGAUUUUGAAGACCUUUUGCAACUAUUUAGACACUAUUUUGUAUUGUUGGAGCAUUUUCUUUAGUGUGCUUCCCUUCUUUUGUGAGCUUGGUUUUCUGUAUGCUCUUUUAUUCUUUUAUUCUUUUCCUUGAUGGAAGGUUUCAUUUUUCUCACUCUGUUGGCUUCUAAAUUCUCUUGUAGCCCCUCAGUUAGACCUUCAUGGUAUUUAAUGCUACUUUGCUAAUGAACUGAAGAGAAGUCCUAUCUGUAAGCCAAAUGCAUGUUAUUUAUGUCAACACUUUGUGAGGCUCCCAAUUAUUCACACAUAUGUGAGGAAGGGUAAAAAGGGGAAUUCGUCUAUUAAAGAGAAAGAAUGAUUGGUGAAAGAGAUCGUGAGAGUGGGCCCCACUGGGAAAAGAAUUUAGGAAGCCUAUAAAUAGUGAUUGAUAGAGAGAGGAUAGCUAGGUUUUAUUUUGUCAUCUUUAUGAUGGGUAGGCUGCUGUAGCCGUAAAAGGGUUACCAUUUGUGUAAAGGGGGCUGGUAUGUUCUUUUGCUGUUUUCUUUCCUUGUUAUAUUUCUUUAUUGUUACUUGUAGACAUCUUUUGGCUUAUACAUAAAUAAAGAAUAUCAAAGUAUUGCCUUUGUUUAGCCAUUGUUGGGUAUUUUAGUUGGUAGCCUGACACACUUUUAAUUGAAUAAAAAUUUAAGUAGCCUUACUGGAUCAUCCUAGAAUCUUAGUAAUCCAAACUUGGAAUAAGCAACUUUAUAUUGUAGUUGAUGGCCAUCAUGGGCUGAGUAACCUUGUGAACUAUUGAAACUUUUAUGUUUUGCUUUUUUUUUUCUUUUUUUUGAUAAACAUGAGUUUUGAUGCAGAGUGAUACAUCAGUGGAUGACUUCCUACAGUCCUUGGGUCUCGAAAAAUAUUCCAUUACGUUUCAAGCAGAGGAAGUAAGAAAAUCUAUCUUUCCAAGCAUAAAAUCUGUUUUUGAAGCUUUCAGCUGAACUUCUCUAAUUGGUUUUCGUUCAACAUGGUUCAUAUAGGUUGAUAUGACAGCGCUUGUACACAUGGGAGAUGAUGAUCUCAAGGCUUUAGGAGUACCAAUGGUAAACUCAAGGCCUUGAUUUGAUUUCAUGUUUUUUACUUUUUAGUUAUGUGCUUGUAUGUUUUUAGCCGGUUUGAACUCACUAUUUAGCAUUGUAUGUUUUUACAUGGGCAGUUGUGUAAUGUGUUUUUACAUGAGUAGCUGGUUUGAAUUCACUAUUUAGUGUUUAGCUAUUAAUAUUUGAAGAACUUUUAAAUGUUUUCUUCACUCUUGUAUUAGAUGUUGAAGCUAUGUGGUAUUUUUGUUUCUUAAGCAGCUAGUUCCCUAAAUUCUAAUAUUUCGACCUAUCACAACUAGGACUAAUAGCAGGAUGUGGCUGCUCAGAUAAGAAUGUAUUUUGUCAGUUAUUAUUCAAUCAAAAGAAAUAGUUAACAUGUAGACAACGCGUGCUAGCUCUCUCACCUUACUAAUUCUACUUCAAUGCUGAGGUGUGAGGUGCAGGUUAUUUUAUAGAGUUACUGAAAGAGCCAGGUGGAUCUGAUCUGGCUUAUACACAAAUAGGCAACUAACAUUGCUUCUAGAAGUUUCAAACUUUGUCGAAAUCAAAACUUCCGUCCAAACUGUGGAGAAGAUUUGUAGAAGAAUCCUUUUAGUUUUCUGUACAGUUUCUUGUCUUGGAAAAGGUAGUUCCCUGUUAUCAGUUGGAUGAUGUUAGGAUACUAACAAUAAUUUAGACUGAAAGGACUGUAUAAAUGGCUUAAACAGAGGCGGUACUCUGGUUUACUUUAUUUAUAUAUAAAGCCAAAUGAUCCAGAUUCACAAGAUGAAAAGAAAUAACAAGAAACAACAAGGAAAAAUGCAGAAAAGAUCAUACCAGCCUCUUGGUUUUAAGAGACCCUGGUGGCUGCUGUAGCCCUACCUCCUAAAAGUUAAAAAUACCCUAGCUACUCCAACCUAAUAAUCCUAUUUAUAGACUCACAUAUUCCUCAGCCCAGUGGGCCCUACCACUCAGAACGUCCUUCCAAUCAUUUCUCCAUAAUAAUUCCCUGUGCAGUUACUUUUCUACCCUUCCUCCUAUAAGUAUGGAUAAUUGGGGGUCUUACAGAUGACUGCCAGUUUCUUGUGUUCGAUCAAAGGAGAGAGAUGGUUGGCUUCUUCCUGACAGGGACGGGGAUGACAGCCAGCUUUCAGAUCCUCCUGAUAGCAAGAUAUUGCAGGAAAAUGAAACAUCAUAUGCCAAAUACAUUAUAAUUUACCCUUCAUGUGAGAAUAACUUAAAAAUAUAAGAAUAUUGUCAGCAGUGUUCAUGAGUAUAGCAGAUCCAAUAAAGUAGCAUUUCUUGUGUCGUGUUUGUUAACUCAUUUAUUCUUUUAAUGCUUGGGUCUUGAAUCAAGAACCUUGUACUGAAGUUAUCAGCUCUGAUUUCAGGGGCCAAGAAAGAAGAUCCUUU
Molecule: long non-coding RNA, 4029 nt
Filed under: Cucumis sativus (cucumber)
Lineage: Eukaryota; Viridiplantae; Streptophyta; Magnoliopsida; Cucurbitales; Cucurbitaceae
Description: long non-coding RNA (CSAT_LNC002845)
Source: RNAcentral